RNAcentral lists this ribosomal RNA (254 nucleotides) under uncultured bacterium. RNAcentral's name for it is "partial 16S ribosomal RNA". It matches the Rfam family "Bacterial small subunit ribosomal RNA", at positions 57 to 305 of the family's 1533-position model. The record is from RNAcentral.
GCAAGUCGAGCGGUAACAUUUCAAAAGCUUGCUUUUGAAGAUUACGAACGGCGGACGGGUGAGCAAUGCCUAGGAAAUUGCCCUGAUGUGGGGGAUAACCAUUGGAAACAAUGGAUAAUACCGCAUGAUUCCUACGGGCCAAAGAGGGGGACCGUCGGGCCUCUCGCGUCAGGAUAUGCCUAGGUGGGAUUAGCUAGUUGGUGAGGUAAUGGCUCACCAAGGCGACGAUCCAUAGCUGGUCUGAGAGGAUGAUC